Long non-coding RNA from Plodia interpunctella (Indianmeal moth), 2357 nucleotides. RefSeq lists it as uncharacterized. The transcript has 4 exons. The record is from RefSeq and is a predicted model, not a curated record. NCBI's taxonomy places the organism in Eukaryota, Metazoa, Arthropoda, Insecta, Lepidoptera, Pyralidae.
UUGUGAUCUCUUGCAAGUCGAAUUAUCAAAACAAAUUGAGAACAUCUCGCAGUUGUUACUCAUUCCCGUCCAAUCUGUCGGGAGCGGCAGACGCGGCCGAUAACAAAUUAACAUCAACAUAACAAUUCGUGUAACAACUUGUUGAUUGAUAAACAAACGGAAGCACGUGCAAGAUUUAAGUGAUUUCCACAGACGUCAUCAUUUGCUAAUGAUGUAACAUGGCGCGAAGGCUGGUAAUUCUCAUGAUAUGUGCAGUGAUAUUGUCGCAUGAAGUAACAGGUUUCGUACUGCUGUCCUCUAAUAAAACAACGAAGCAAGAGAAUAUUAGAGAAAAACAGACAGUUCCUGCACAGAAAAUAUCGAAUGAUUAUAGAAAAUAUAACUUUAUAAUAACAACAUAUUUAUAGUUAUCGUAGAUACAUAAAUACUCUAUUUUUAUUUUUAUUAAAAAUCUAUGUUACUAAUGGCUGUGAUUUGGAUUUGCCCUAUACCUACACAUUUAAAAAAAUUAAUGUUCUAUUCUUGUCAAAUUUACUCAACAGUUGAAUCAGUUAUAUGUAGGGUAUGUUAAAGGGUGUCGCUGCUAUUGAAUAAAUUAGUUAAGAAAUGUAUUUAUAAUUUUUAUUUUCAAUUUUGGCCGCCGGUUAUAAUCCUUGCCAUUCUGCUCUGCAACUACUUGUGUAUAAAAAAAUACUUUGAGGUCGAAAAACAUGAUAUGAAAGUGAAUCUGCCAGAAAAACAGUCGUUAAAGAUUACUAAUUAAUAGUUGAAUGGUAUAUUUUGUUAUAAGGCUUGAUUGGGAAUAAGUAUUUUUAUGUCAGAAGAGGUGAAGAGGUUAGAAAUGCAAUUUCGACAUAGUCAAAAUGAUUUGUACAAAUGUAUUUCUCCAUCAGCCGUAAAGGAGUCGAUGAUUUUUCGCUAGAAAAAAGAAAAUGCAAGUAAAACUCAGAUGAAAAGUCUUCCUUCUAGGAAGUCUGAACAUACUUAUGUUCCAUUCUUCAAUCUCCAUGUCCAGUCCAACAAAGUGCAAUUCUUGGACCAGAUGCAAUAAAAAAAAGUAAGUUUAGUAUUAUAUCUACCCUGGACUCCAAGUGCUCCGUUCGACGAUGCUCUAUAGCUAUCUAAGAGGAAGCUUCCGUAAAACCACUCAUAUAUGAGAGAGGGGAGAGUUCAUUCUAAUACUAAUCCUAUCCCACUAAUAUUAUAAAUGCCAAAGAAGUAGGUACCUACUGUUCUCAUGGGCAAUAUACACAGGCGAAUCUGCAAGAAAAACUUGUUAAUGAUAUUUGUUUUUGUAUCACAUUAGCAACCGCUUGUUUUCCGUAGGAGUAGUAGAGACCUCCACUCUAGCGAUAUAGGUAGGUACAUUCCUAAGAAAUAUAAUUUCUAGGAUUACAAGGCGUUUAACAUCAAGAGUAGACUAGAAUGCCAUUCGCGGAAUCAAGUUGGCAGUUUGUGAAGGGUGUCGUCUCAAUGUUUUUAAUUAUCUACAGCCUAUAUAUUCUGAUGCCUCUAGUUUCUGUCCGCACUGGAAUGCUUACUCGGUAAUUACCUAUUUUUGCCGUACAUUGCUUAGUUUUUCCUUGCGUUGAUAUAAAGCUCACAUUAAAACUUAGCAGUAGUGCACUUAGCAGAAGUGCACCCAAAUAGUGUUGGCUUGAUGUCGUCAAGGAUGAAAGUCCUGCCGAUGCCCUGACGAGACUGACAACUACGAUUACAGAAGACCGAACGAAAUGAUAAAGAAAAAGUAGGAAAGUCGACCCUGGGCUUCUACGCUAUAUAGAGGAAACACCCGGGAACACCCGGGGAAACGCUCAGAUGAAAAGACUUUAUACAAAAAACUAAAUCGCUCUCUUUUGCAUCAGGAGUUAAAAUGAGCACAGCCAUUUAUGACAUCAGGUUAAUAAUAAAGCCAUGUUUGUCCGGCCGAUAGUAAACAGUUUCAAAUGUUUCAAUUGAUGAAGAGAACGCAUUGAGUCUUAUUAGACAAACACAUCUUGUUCUGUUUAAUAAACAUUACUCAUUCAGCUGUUUGUCUUUAGUUACAAUGUUUAAAUGCUAUUAUUUUAUAAUUAAAAGACUUCAAAAAGCAAUUCUUAUUCAUCACGUACUUUUUUAUCAUUAUCUACGUGGGAUAACACUGGUACUUUUGAAUUAUAAAAUAUGAAAAUUAUUUUUGUGAAACAUUAUAAUGUGUACAUAUAUAACUUAUGCUACUUACUAUAUACUACGCCAUAGUAUAAGUUAUCGUAAGAUAUAUAGAUAAUGUAAUUAACAUAAGAAUAAAGGAGUUUAACAAGAACAUGGCUAUCCUGCCUUUAUAUGUAUUUAACGCUAUCUAAUGUACUAGGUACUCU